Molecule: ribosomal RNA, 416 nt
Filed under: uncultured bacterium
Lineage: Bacteria
Description: bacterial SSU rRNA
Rfam family: Bacterial small subunit ribosomal RNA
Source: RNAcentral
AACGAACGCUGGCGGCAGGCCUAACACAUGCAAGUCGAGCGCGCCCUUCGGGGUGAGCGGCGGACGGGUUAGUAACGCGUGGGAACGUGCCCAGAUCUAAGGAAUAGCCACUGGAAACGGUGAGUAAUACCUUAUACGCCCUUCGGGGAAAGAUUUAUCGGAUUUGGAUCGGCCCGCGUUAGAUUAGAUAGUUGGUGGGGUAACGGCCUACCAAGUCUACGAUCUAUAGCUGGUUUAGAGGAUGAUCAGCAACACUGGGACUGAGACACGGCCCAGACUCCUACGGGAGGCAGCAGUGGGGAUCUUGGACAAUGGGCGCAAGCCUGAUCCAGCCAUGCCGCGUGAGUGAUGAAGGCCCUAGGGGUCGUAAAGCUCUUUCGCCGGAGAUAAUGACUACGGUAAGAACCCCGGCUAAC